GAUGAACGCUGGCGGCGUGCCUAAUACAUGCAAGUAGAACGCUGAAGGAAGGAGCUUGCUCUUUCCGGAUGAGUUGCGAACGGGUGAGUAACGCGUAGGUAACCUGCCUGGUAGCGGGGGAUAACUAUUGGAAACGAUAGCUAAUACCGCAUAACAGUAGAUGUUGCAUGAUAUCUACUUAAAAGGUGCAAUUGCACCACUACCAGAUGGACCUGCGUUGUAUUAGCUAGUUGGUGAGGUAACGGCUCACCAAGGCGACGAUACAUAGCCGACCUGAGAGGGUGAUCGGCCACACUGGGACUGAGACACGGCCCAGACUCCUACGGGAGGCAGCAGUAGGGAAUCUUCGGCAAUGGACGGAAGUCUGACCGAGCAACGCCGCGUGAGUGAAGAAGGUUUUCGAAUCGUAAAGCUCUGUUGUAAGAGAAGAACGAGUGUGAGAGUGGAAAGUUCACACUGUGACGGUAUCUUACCAGAAAGGGACGGCUAACUACGU
Molecule: ribosomal RNA, 496 nt
Filed under: uncultured bacterium
Lineage: Bacteria
Description: partial 16S ribosomal RNA
Rfam family: Bacterial small subunit ribosomal RNA
Source: RNAcentral